GACUCUGGGAUAAGCCCGGGAAACUGGGUCUAAUACCGGAUACGACCAUUUCCAGGCAYCUGGUGGUGGUGGAAAGUUUUUUUCGGUUGGGGAUGGGCUCGCGGCCCUAUCAGCUUGUUGGUGGGGUAGUGGCCUACCAAGGCGACGACGGGUAGCCGGCCUGAGAGGGCGACCGGCCACACUGGGACUGAGACACGGCCCAGACUCCUACGGGAGGCAGCAGUGGGGAAUAUUGCGCAAUGGGCGGAAGCCUGACGCAGCGACGCCGCGUGGGGGAUGACGGCCUUCGGGUUGUAAACCUCUUUCAGCAGGGACGAAGUUGACGUGUACCUGCAGAAGAAGCGCCGGCUAACUACGUGCCA
This 362-nucleotide ribosomal RNA is filed under the name Nonomuraea sp. RNAcentral describes it as "bacterial SSU rRNA". Lineage: Bacteria; Bacillati; Actinomycetota; Actinomycetes; Streptosporangiales; Streptosporangiaceae. The record is from RNAcentral.